Molecule: ribosomal RNA, 124 nt
Filed under: Jaculus jaculus (lesser Egyptian jerboa)
Lineage: Eukaryota; Metazoa; Chordata; Mammalia; Rodentia; Dipodidae
Source: RNAcentral
GUCUAUAAUCAUAGCACCUUGAAUGCCUCUGAUCUCAUCUGAUCUCCCAAGCUAACCAGUGUCGGACCUGGUUAGUAACCACCCAGCCUCCCAGCACUCUUAGAAACAUGACAGGCAUUUGACU